RNAcentral lists this ribosomal RNA (253 nucleotides) under uncultured bacterium. Its description in RNAcentral is "partial 16S ribosomal RNA". It matches the Rfam family "Bacterial small subunit ribosomal RNA", at positions 524 to 776 of the family's 1533-position model. The record is from RNAcentral.
UACGUAGGGGGCUAGCGUUGUCCGGAAUCAUUGGGCGUAAAGAGCGUGUAGGCGGCUCGGUAAGUCCGCUGUGAAAGUCCAGGGCUCAACCCUGGAAUGCCAGUGGAAACUGUCGAGCUAGAGCCCGGGAGAGGCGAGUGGAAUUCCUGGUGUAGCGGUGAAAUGCGCAGAUAUCAGGAGGAACACCGGUGGCGAAGGCGGCUCGCUGGGACGGUACUGACGCUGAGACGCGAAAGCGUGGGGAGCAAACAGG